Molecule: ribosomal RNA, 719 nt
Filed under: Cyphellophora reptans
Lineage: Eukaryota; Fungi; Ascomycota; Eurotiomycetes; Chaetothyriales; Cyphellophoraceae
Description: eukaryotic LSU rRNA
Rfam family: Eukaryotic large subunit ribosomal RNA
Source: RNAcentral
GAAGCGGCAACAGCUCAAAUUUGAAAUCUGGCCUCUGCGGGGUCCGAGUUGUAAUUUGGAGAGGAUGUUUCGGGCACGGUCCGGGCUUAAAUUUCUUGGAACAGAAUGUCACAGAGGGUGAGAAUCCCGUCUGGAGUCCGGACACGGCCCAUGUGAAACUCCUUCGACGAGUCGAGUUGUUUGGGAAUGCAGCUCUAAAUGGGUGGUAAAUUUCAUCUAAAGCUAAAUAUUGGCCAGAGACCGAUAGCGCACAAGUAGAGUGAUCGAAAGAUGAAAAGCACUUUGAAAAGAGAGUUAAACAGUACGUGAAAUUGUUGAAAGGGAAGCGCUGUCAACCAGACUUGCGCGUCGGGGUUCCCCCUUGCUUCUGCCUGGGUUACUCCCCGGCGUUCAGGCCAACAUCGGUUUCGGGGGUUGGUUAAAGGCCCUGGGAAUGUAUCUACCCUCCGGGGUAGACUUAUAGCCCAGGGUGUCAUGCGACCUCCCGGGACCGAGGAACGCGCUUCGGCUCGGAUGUUGGCGUAAUGGUUGUCAGCGACCCGUCUUGAAACACGGACCAAGGAGUCUAACAUCUAUGCGAGUGUUAGGGUGUCAAACCCUUACGCGGAAUGAAAGUGAACGGAGGUAGGAAGCCUUAAGGCUGCACUAUCGACCGAUCCUGAUGUCUUCGGAUGGAUUUGAGUAAGAGCAUAGCUGUUGGGACCCGAAAGAUGGUGAAC